AACGAACGCUGGCGGCAUGCCUAACACAUGCAAGUCGAACGAGACCUUCGGGCCUAGUGGCGCACGGGUGCGUAACGCGUUGGAUCCUGCCUUUAGGUUCGGAAUAACUCAGAGAAAUUUGAGCUAAUACCGGAUGUUGUCUUCGGACCAAAGAUUUAUCGCCUUUAGAUGGGCCUGCGUUGGAUUAGCUAGUUGUUGGGGUAAAGGCCUACCAAGGCGACGAUCGAUAGCUGGUAUGAGAGGAUGAUCAGCGACACUGGUACUGAGACACGGUCCAGACUCCUACGGGAGGCAGCAGUGGGGAAUAUUGGACAAUGGGGGAAAGGCUGAUCCAGCAAUGACGCGUGAGUGAUGAAGGCCUUAGGGUUGUAAAGCUCGUUUACCCGAGAUGAUAAUGACAGUACCGGGAGAAUAAGCUCCGGCUAACUCCGUG
This 433-nucleotide ribosomal RNA is filed under the name uncultured bacterium. Its description in RNAcentral is "partial 16S ribosomal RNA". It matches the Rfam family "Bacterial small subunit ribosomal RNA", at positions 29 to 507 of the family's 1533-position model. The record is from RNAcentral.